Eubalaena glacialis (North Atlantic right whale) is the source of this 222-nucleotide long non-coding RNA. RefSeq lists it as uncharacterized. The transcript is spliced from 3 exons. Lineage: Eukaryota; Metazoa; Chordata; Mammalia; Artiodactyla; Balaenidae. The record is from RefSeq and is a predicted model, not a curated record.
GAAACUUGGACUUCCACAAAGAAUCUCUCAUCCAUGGGUGAAAUACCAUCAGGACCGACCAACACCUGACAUAUGUUGGGUGGAAGACAAUGAAUGUGACUAGAGGUGAUAAGAACACAAUGGUUGGAAAGAAGAGCAGAAAUGCAAUCCAUUACCAAAAUCUGAACUGCAGAUACAAUCAGAGGGGUCUGGACCGUGAAAGAAACAGGGCUCCAAAUUGCC